CCCACAUUGGAACUGAGACACGGUCCAAACUCCUGCGGGAGGCAGCAGUGAGGAAUAUUGGUCAAUGGACGAGAGUCUGAACCAGCCAAGUAGCGUGAAGGAUGACUGCCCUAUGGGUUGUAAACUUCUUUUAUACGGGAAUAAAGUGAGGCACGUGUGCCUUUUUGUAUGUACCGUAUGAAUAAGGAUCGGCUAACUCCGUGCCAGCAGCCGCGGUAAUACGGAGGAUCCGAGCGUUAUCCGGAUUUAUUGGGUUUAAAGGGAGCGUAGGCGGACGCUUAAGUCAGUUGUGAAAGUUUGCGGCUCAACCGUAAAAUUGCAGUUGAUACUGGGUGUCUUGAGUACAGUAGAGGCAGGCGGAAUUCGUGGUGUAGCGGUGAAAUGCUUAGAUAUCACGAAGACUCCGAUUGCGAAGGCAGCUUGCUGGACUGUAA
This 434-nucleotide ribosomal RNA is filed under the name uncultured Bacteroidales bacterium. Its description in RNAcentral is "bacterial SSU rRNA". It matches the Rfam family "Bacterial small subunit ribosomal RNA", at positions 307 to 739 of the family's 1533-position model. Lineage: Bacteria; Pseudomonadati; Bacteroidota; Bacteroidia; Bacteroidales. The record is from RNAcentral.